UACGUAGGGGGCAAGCGUUAUCCGGAUUUACUGGGUGUAAAGGGAGCGUAGACGGCCAGACAAGUCUGAAGUGAAAAUCCAGCGCUUAACGUUGGAAGUGCUUUGGAAACUGCCGGGCUAGAGUGCAGAAGGGGAGAGUGGAAUUCCAUGUGUAGCGGUGGAAUGCGUAGAUAUAUGGAGGAACACCGGUGGCGAAAGCGGCUCUCUGGUCUGUAACUGACGCUGAGGCUCGAAAGCGUGGGUAGCGAACAGG
RNAcentral lists this ribosomal RNA (253 nucleotides) under uncultured bacterium. Its description in RNAcentral is "partial 16S ribosomal RNA". It matches the Rfam family "Bacterial small subunit ribosomal RNA", at positions 524 to 776 of the family's 1533-position model. The record is from RNAcentral.